UGGGGAAUAUUGCACAAUGGGCGCAAGUCCGAUGCAGCCAUGCCGCGUGUAUGAAGAAGGCCUUCGGGUUGUAAAGUACUUUCAGCGGGGAGGAAGGGAGUAAAGUUAAUACCUUUGCUCAUUAACGUUACCCGCAGAAGAAGCACCGGCUAACUCCGUGCCAGCAGCCGCGGUAAUACGGAGGGUGCAAGCGUUAAUCGGAAUUACUGGGCGUAAAGCGCACGCAGGCGGUUUGUUAAGUCAGAUGUGAAAUCCCCGGGCUCAACCUGGGAACUGCAUCUGAUACUGGCAAGCUGGAGUCUCGUAGAGGGGGGUAGAAUUCCAGGUGUAGCGGUGAAAUGCGUAGAGAUCUGGAGGAAUACCGGUGGCGGAGGCGGCCCCCUGGACGAAGGCUGACGCUCAGGUGCGAAAGCGUGGGGAGCAAACAGG
This 429-nucleotide ribosomal RNA is filed under the name Chloroflexota bacterium. RNAcentral's name for it is "Chloroflexi bacterium partial 16S ribosomal RNA". It matches the Rfam family "Bacterial small subunit ribosomal RNA", at positions 355 to 776 of the family's 1533-position model. Lineage: Bacteria; Bacillati; Chloroflexota. The record is from RNAcentral.